CGCCGGUUUUAGAUAGACUUGGCGGCCUUACGAGGAUCUGCCUCGAAGCUGGCUACCAUGUGCGCUUGGGGGUUAGGGCUUGUAGUUCAGUUGGUUAGAGCGCGCGCUUGAUAAGCGUGAGGUCGGAGGUUCAAGUCCUCCCAGGCCCACCAUUCUUCGACAAGGCGCCCUAAGACAGGGGUAACUUCGAAGAGGUGUUAUCAAGGGGCCGUAGCUCAGCUGGGAGAGCGCCUGCUUUGCAAGCAGGAUGUCGUCGGUUCGAUCCCGUCCGGCUCCACCAUCUCCGCGCAAUCCGCAGGAUUGUCGCUGCGCAAUCCGCAGGAUUGUCGCUUCUUCUCCGGGAGAAAAAGGGUGUCGAGUGGAUGUGAAGCGGGCCGAGAAAAAGUCAUUCGUUCAAGAGUUUGCGGCGAGCCUUCUGGCUCUCCGCCUGUUCUGUUUGACAUCGUAAAGAGAAGAUUUGUUCGAACUUCAUGAUCCGAAAGGCUCAUGAUUUGUCGCGGGAGACGCUCAAUCUCCCGCCUAUGAUGGGUUUGCCUAACCGCACCCUCGAACCGAUCUCGAGAAGCUGGUCUUUUUGUGCCAAUGCCAUCAAGCCAAGUCCUGCACAGGAUUUGGCUGACGCGACGAUCUCUUCGAGAUCGCGCUGGGCGACGAUCCCUUUGGGAUCGCGCGGUGGGUAUUGGCAAUGAGAACGAUCAAGUGUCUUAAGGGCAAUUGGUGGAUGCCUUGGCAUGCACAGGCGAUGAAGGACGUGAUACGCUGCGAUAAGCUACGGGGAGGUGCGAAUACAUAUAUGG
Molecule: unclassified non-coding RNA, 797 nt
Filed under: Mesorhizobium sp. CCBAU 11257
Lineage: Bacteria; Pseudomonadati; Pseudomonadota; Alphaproteobacteria; Hyphomicrobiales; Phyllobacteriaceae
Description: partial contains 16S-23S ribosomal RNA intergenic spacer and 23S ribosomal RNA
Rfam family: tRNA (bases 76-149)
Source: RNAcentral